This 69-nucleotide transfer RNA is filed under the name Myotis davidii. It matches the Rfam family "tRNA". Rfam says of the family: Transfer RNA (tRNA) molecules are approximately 80 nucleotides in length. Their secondary structure includes four short double-helical elements and three loops (D, anti-codon, and T loops). Further hydrogen bonds mediate the characteristic L-shaped molecular structure. tRNAs have two regions of fundamental functional importance: the anti-codon, which is responsible for specific mRNA codon recognition, and the 3' end, to which the tRNAs corresponding amino acid is attached (by aminoacyl-tRNA synthetases). tRNAs cope with the degeneracy of the genetic code in two manners: having more than one tRNA (with a specific anti-codon) for a particular amino acid; and 'wobble' base-pairing, i.e. permitting non-standard base-pairing at the 3rd anti-codon position. The record is from Rfam by way of RNAcentral. Lineage: Eukaryota; Metazoa; Chordata; Mammalia; Chiroptera; Vespertilionidae.
AAGGGCUUAGCUUAAUUAAAGUAAAUGACUUGUAUUCAUUUGAUGUGAGAUAAAAUCUUGCAGUCCUUU